This is a long non-coding RNA of Carya illinoinensis, 1536 nucleotides long. RefSeq lists it as uncharacterized. The transcript has 7 exons. The record is from RefSeq and is a predicted model, not a curated record. NCBI's taxonomy places the organism in Eukaryota, Viridiplantae, Streptophyta, Magnoliopsida, Fagales, Juglandaceae.
CUGUUGCGGUCAUCUUUUCCUAAUGCACUCUUACCACAAUCAUAUGAGGAAUCAAGGUCUUUGGAGCACGGGUUGGGUUUCAAGUUUGACUAUGAGUUUAAAGCUUUGGCUAUCAAUUUCCCAGCUUAAUGUUGGGGGUGAGUGUUACACUUGCAAGGCCAUGACAUGUCUGUUUUACAGAAAUGUUGGUGGAGCCUUUGACGUUGAGCAAAUUGAGGAAAAUUUACUUGGUCAACUUGUUGGAAAUCAGGCAAUUUUAGUGAAUGUGUAUGAUGUCACAAACUCCUCCAAUCCCCUAAUCAUGUAUGGUCAGACAUAUCAAGAUGGUGAUAUGUCUCUUUCUCAUGAGAGCAAAAGCAUACUAUAAGUAAAUGUUGCAAAAUCCCAGUUUAUAGCUACUGUUUCUCACGAAAUUAGAACAACAAUGUGAAUGGCAUUUUUUAUGAUACAGAAUUAAGCUCAACUCAGAGGGAUUACUGGGCAAACUGCGCAGGCCUGUGGGAAGAGCAUUAAUAGUGUUAAUCAAUGAGGUGCUAGACCGUGCAAAACUUGAGGCUGGCAAGUUAGAGCAGGAAGAAGUCCCAUUUGACCUCAUUCCAACUUCUAGACAAUAUAUACCUUUAUUUUCUAAGAAGUCUAGACACAAGGGAAUUGAGGGAAGUUCAGGCAGAUUAUUACAAAUCUUGUGGGCAACUCUGUUAAGGUUCACCGAACGAGGACAUAUAUUUAUCCACCCCCUCACGUUUUAGAUGUGGUUCAAGUAAGAUGAUGAUGACCCACAUCAUUGCUGCUGCAGCUUGGAAACCAUGACCAGGUUACUCAUCUGGUAUAGUGUUUCCCCUGCAUUUCAAGUCAUAAAACUCAGUUUGCAUCUUACACCAUGCUUUUUAGUAUCGACACAGGUGUGUUGCGCAACUGCUGUAUUUCAUACAGGCAUAUGCACAGCUAGGCAAAUUUUGGUUAUCUUGGAUUCCUCUGUUCAAGUUAUCAAAUGGCUCAAAUUAAGAACUAUUAAUACAUUGUUGAUGGAAGCAGCUUUGAUAGUCAAGGCAAUAGUGGAUAUUUGCUCAAUAUCCAAUAUUUAACCAAAAGAAUUUCUUACUCAUCAAGGGUCAGGGUGCGAUCCCAAAUGCAUGAAUUUGUUGGGGAAGAGAAGAAUGAUGAUGCUAGCGUGUAGUGUUCUCUGCAACUGGAAAAGGCAUCAGACAAAAAGGGGUGGUUUGAUAUUCACAAUAGUGAUAUGGCCAAGCUUGGGUUGAUCAUGAGCUAUGCAAUCAAUACACAAUCAUCGCGCAUCAUGUUCGCCACCUUUCUUGAUCAAAAGUGAUAUGUCGAACUGUGGGUACCAGUGUGAAUGAAAAGUCCCACAGUAAUAGAGAUAACCAAAAUUGGUAGACCUUGGUUACCAUUAUAAUAGAGUAUAGUAAAUUAGUAGGUAAUGGUGAUGUUUUGUAUAUUAUAUAAAAAUUAGCUUAGCUUGUACUUGAUAUGACUUCCAUAGUGCAGCACCCAGUAAGAAAUUAUAUAUUUGCGAAA